GUAGCCAACACUCGGCGGGAAAGCCGCCCUGCUAGGACUAGGUGGACUGGGAGGACUUGGGCUGGUGCUGUGCUAGGAUAAGGGCACCAGCUCCGUUUCCUUUAUCCUUCUGUCUCACCAAACGAUUUACCUGUGCAGUUAUAAAGUGCAAGCUGGUUGCCUAAGGUCUUCACGCUGAUUUCCUGUUCUCCUACACGCCUGUGAAAACUCUUACUAAGAACCCUCCAAGGGGUCAAGAAUGCUGACACUGACCAGGCUGCUUUCCUGCCUCUUCCAGGUUGGAACUCCCGUCUCGAUCUGGAACGGCUGCCGGGAGGAACAUGCUGCUGGGCAUCACCAUCUCGGGGGUGGUCACCUGAGG
Oryctolagus cuniculus (rabbit) is the source of this 361-nucleotide long non-coding RNA. RefSeq lists it as uncharacterized. The record is from RefSeq and is a predicted model, not a curated record. Lineage: Eukaryota; Metazoa; Chordata; Mammalia; Lagomorpha; Leporidae.